UGGGGAAUCUUGGACAAUGGGGGCAACCCUGAUCCAGCCAUGCCGCGUGAGUGAUGAAGGCCUUAGGGUCGUAAAGCUCUUUCGCCUGUGAAGAUAAUGACGGUAGCAGGUAAAGAAGUCCCGGCUAACUCCGUGCCAGCAGCCGCGGUAAUACGGAGGGGGACUAGCGUUGUUCGGAAUUACUGGGCGUAAAGAGUUCGUAGGCGGACUAGCAAGUUAGAGGUGAAAUCCCAGGGGCUCAACCUUGGAACUGCCUUUAAAAGCUGCUAGUCUAGAGACCGGAAGAGGUUAGGGGGAAUACCUAGUGUAGAGGUGAAAAUUCGUAGAUAUUAGGUGGAACACCAGUGGCGAAGGCGCCUAACUGGUCCGGUACUGACGCUGAGGAACGAAAGCGUGGGGAGCAAAC
Molecule: ribosomal RNA, 406 nt
Filed under: uncultured bacterium
Lineage: Bacteria
Description: bacterial SSU rRNA
Rfam family: Bacterial small subunit ribosomal RNA
Source: RNAcentral